This is a long non-coding RNA of Parambassis ranga (Indian glassy fish), 226 nucleotides long. The record is from Ensembl. Lineage: Eukaryota; Metazoa; Chordata; Actinopteri; Ambassidae.
UAAAGACAGAGGAGUCACUACACCAGCAUUCCUCUGGUGAAGACUGGGGCAGCUGAAACCAAGACUGGGACACUAACAUGGAACAGGUUUUAUAACGAAAACAUAGCUGUAAACCAGGCACAGCUUAAGACAGGUGAGUCUGAACCUUAGAGGACGUAUAGGAUGGAAUGAUACUGGAUAUUUAUCAGCUCCAUGCCUUUACACAGUCACAUACACACAGACAUUG